RNAcentral lists this ribosomal RNA (253 nucleotides) under uncultured bacterium. Its description in RNAcentral is "partial 16S ribosomal RNA". It matches the Rfam family "Bacterial small subunit ribosomal RNA", at positions 524 to 776 of the family's 1533-position model. The record is from RNAcentral.
UACGUAGGGCGCAAGCGUUGUCCGGAAUUAUUGGGCGUAAAGGGCUCGUAGGCGGCCAACUAAGUCAGACGUGAAAUCCCUCAGCUUAACUGGGGAACUGCGUCUGAUACUGGAUGGCUUGGAUUCGGGAGAGGAAUGCGGAAUUCCAGGUGUAGCGGUGAAAUGCGUAGAGAUUUGGAGGAACACCAGUGGCGAAGGCGACUUUCUGGUCUGUAACUGACACUGAGGCGCGAAAGCGUGGGGAGCAAACAGG